This 1473-nucleotide ribosomal RNA is filed under the name Triticum aestivum (bread wheat). Its description in RNAcentral is "partial small subunit ribosomal RNA". Lineage: Eukaryota; Viridiplantae; Streptophyta; Magnoliopsida; Poales; Poaceae. The record is from RNAcentral.
AUGGACUUCGCCAAGGAAGUUGUCGUUCAGGCGGCGCUGUCCGAGAUCCUUGGCCGCAUCUUCUCCUCCCUGCUAGACGGCCUCCGCCUGCCGACCGACGGUGGCGCCAGGGACGCGCACCGCCGGCGGCUGGAGCGGCUGCUCGGCAGCAUCGGCAGCAUGGUCGAGGAGGCGGAGGGCCGGCACAUCAACAACCACCAGCUGCUCGGCCACCUCAAGGUCCUCACCGAGGGCAUGUACCGCGCCCGCUUCGCCCUCGAGGCGGCCGACCUCGACGACGCCCAUGACGCCGACGCCACGGACGACGACGGCGAUCGGCGCCGCCCGCUCGCGCUGCUCUCCCCGUUCAACAGGACGAAGCGUUCCCGCAUCACGAGCCUGAUCUGGGGAGCUGGCGCUGGCGCUGGCGCCGGGGACCACGACGGUGGGUCGAUGAAGAGGUUGGCGGCCGCCAGCGAAGAGCUGGAGGAGCUGACGCGCGACUGCACGAGGGAGUUCGUGCUGCUCGUCCAGGGGUACCCCCGCAAAGUGCACCGGGCGGUGCGGACGACGCUGUACAUGGACCGCUGCGUGUUCGGGCGGCACGUCGAGACGGAGCGCAUCGUCGACUUCCUCCUGCAGCAGCAUGGCGGAUACCUGAGCGCGCUCGCCGUCGUCGGCGCCAAGAAGGUCGGGAAGACCACGGUCGUCAAGCACGCCUGUGACGACGAGCGCGUGCGGGGCCACUUUGCGCGCGUCGAGUGGUUCGAGACGCCAGAAGUCGUGAAGGCGGGAGGCCAGGCGGGGCAGACCGCGUGGGAGAGCGACGGGCCGGAGUACCUCGCGGGCGUGCGCCGCAUCAUCGGCGAGCCGCGGGAAGGCCGAUCGCUCCUCGUGUUUGACGACGCCUGGCCGGUCGACGCGUCGGCCUGGCGCGAGCUCGCGUCGUCGACCACCACGGGCGCGGGCGACUGCAAACUCAUCUUCACGUGCCGCGACGCCGACCUCGCCCGGGACAUGAGCACGGCGGCGGAGCCGGUGGUGCUGGGCAAGGCCCCGAUGGAGGAGUACUGGUACUACUUCAAGGCUUUCGCGUUCGGCGGCGGUGCGGAUCCCAGGGACAACCCGCGGGCCGCGGCGGUCGGCCGGCAGAUCUGCGAGCGGCUCGACCGCACGUACCUCGACGCCAGGGUGCUGGGUGGGCUGCUCGGGGCCAACCUCGGCGACACCCCGUUCUGGCGCCGCAUGCUGGCGGCCCUCGCGCGGUGCGAGCGGCGGCCGCUGCACGUCGGCGUCCUGCUCGAGCUCCUGCCCGUGAACGGUAGGCGACUGCAGUCGUACGGCUACUGCCGGAGCCCGCCGAAUGUCACCGUGCAGGACGUGCUCGGCGGGAGGACCAGCGGCGGCUCCGAUGAGGAUGGCUCGAUGACCGUCCAUCUCUGCAGGGAGACGCUGUACAUGGAUCACUGGUACAGCAUCACUUUCAAGUACUAG